CGACCUCAACCGGAGUUCAGCGGCGGGUCACAGCAGCGGGGGCGUAGGGGGUGGGUACGGCUGCAGAAGCGUAGUGGGUAGGUGCGGCGGUGACCUUAGACCUCCAGGCCUGGUUAUUUCCGUUUCACUCGCCCCUGCUGCCGUUUGGUGAGGGAGGGGAGCUACGCCUAGUCCGGUUCUUUCUCUACACUACCGGUCUGGAAGUGUAGGAAAGAAAGGAAGGAGUACCUCCUACCCGACUUCGCCGCUGCGGGGACCGCCAUCUCUUGUUCCCACACUUGGGUUGAGUUAUAACGUCGACCGUUCACUGUGCCCUCCACGUCCGUUUUAGGAUCGGCCACCUCCGCCGGUACUAGUAGCGGCUUUAGCUACGUGUCUACUGGCCGUGGUCCCUCCUCAAGCUGUCGCUCCGCCACUAGACACGACGGUACCAGUUACUUGUUCGGGUUGCUCCACCCUCUGGUGCGAUGAGUAGCAGUGACUAUUUCCCAAGUAGUUGUAGCAGCAGCCCAACGAGUUCGUGAGACUGUUCCUCUCGGAACGCUCUUUCUUGUUUAGUCCUAAGUUACGGGACGUGUAGUGACGUUUCCUUCCGGUGCCUCCACUCGUGACUGUUUGUGAAGUUAUGAUUUGGUGAAGACUAACCAGUAUAAAAAUGUACCCUUCUCCCAUCGAAACCUGGAACACAGAUCUGAUCUUAGAGUAUCAAACGUACUUCUUUCCCCAAAUACCUAAAGAUUUAAUUAACUAACGGUACCAAAAAACCCAGAAACUAGUUAGAGGCACCUAGGCUAACAUAAUCAAAACGUCACGACUUUAAAUGGACUAGACAUACUAUUGAUGUCACACGGUAACGGAUGUGUUCGAUUACUCGUUCUUUCUACCUGUAGACUGUGACGAACAUCUAUAACACUUCCAUGAGGACCUGGUACUAGCUAGGGAACCCUUUUGUAGACCGGUUAGUUUUACACUGAGGAGACUAUUAACGCAGCUAAUCUCCGGUGGUGCUACAUCGCUUGGAAGACGACCUCGCUCUAAGACCUAACGAACUUGAUAGUUUCCGUUUCCCUUGUUGUUAAAAAUAAAAGGACCAUGUCCCUUAAAGGGAUGUGUUGUUUCAUACACAAUACCGUGACGAUCUUCCUCCCGCGCUCUCCCGGCCGGCCCCCGGAAAACGGGUGCCGGCCUGUUCUACCUUCCCUAAAGGAAAAAUUAAGAACGAACUAAUCUAACUAUGUAGAGGAGAGAAAUAUAUCUCUCCAAAUGAACUGAGGGUUCGUUCGUUGGGAAUAGAGAUUAAUUGGGAUUCUGAUUACCCGAUAUGGCGGUCGGGUCCGGGUAAUCCGGGUAAUGCAUGAGAUUGUGAUGUGGGGUGGACCUGUACGUCGAACAGGAGUUCGACGUCGGAUUGGUUGAAUAUUGGUACUGAGCUGCGUUGUGUUUGGAUUGUGGAUUUUUGUUCGUAAAAUGUAGAGCCGAACAAAAUAAUGAGAGUUGGACUUUACCUGACCCUGCGAAAUAAAACUUGGGGAAUUGUUUUUCACCUGUGGUAGGCGUGCAGUCUGCACGUGCACAUGUCGGUGGACCUAGGGUACCUGUGGUAGACCUGUUUUCCUCACGUACCCAUACCGGUGGACCUUCACCAGCGUUCUCGCCGGUCGUCUCCGCGGGAACGCCGCCGGCCGCUUUACGUCACCACGAUGCGCCACGUGAGGACAGCCACUGUGGGACGGAAGAGGGGCGGCCUGCCGACAACCAGACGUGGCGUGUCUCUUCUCACCUCCUGAACGCUACCUCUUACUGCUCCUCCCCACGGGGGGGGGUUAGCGGUUACAGCGACUGAAACUCCAGCGACAGGCACCCCUACUCUAGCUCCAGGAAACGCGUCGCUUCCUGUUGACCCUCCUCGCCGUCGACGUCUGGUGCGUAUGGGGCGUGUGCGGCUGCGCGGUCCUCCGGUGCGCGUCGUCGGACAUCGGAGUGGCGGCGGCUGUGCACCGCGCAUCGUUAGGUUCGGCCUUCGCCACUGCCGCUGCCGCCCUUGAACUAGACGACCUACCCCUGCGGGACCCUUUCGCCACUACCGCUGCUGCUCUUGAACUAGACCACCUAGCUCUGAGGGCGGCCGCGCCAGCUACGCCCCGGCCUCGACUGCACCUACCGUCGCCGGGCCGCUCGCGCCGCCGCCCUGCCACCUACCGUCGCCGGGCCGCUCGCGCCGCCACCGGCGGUCCUCGCUGCCGACGGUGAAGUCGGUCGCACCCCGCCUCCGGCGGACCACGCCGCCGACGGUGGUGCCGCCGCGCCACCGCCGCGUCGGACCACGCCGGGCAUCCUGGGCCGGUUCUUGUCCGCCUAGAGGACCUGGCGGACCCAAUCCACAGCGUCGCAGGGCCUGUGGAGGAGGCCCCACUGCUGCCUCCACCGCCCGCGCUGCCUCCUAGGGCCGCGCCCGUCCUCGCCCCGCUGCCAGCACCACCAGAGGCCUCCGCUGUUCCACUGGCCGUCGCCCUCUCUGCCCAAUCCGCCGCCACUUCUGUACUAGCUUGGUUUCGAUCAACUAUGGUUAAACAAUACCGCGACGAUCUUCCCCCGCGCUCUCCCGGCCGGCCCCCGGAAAACGGGUGCCAGCCCGUUCUACCUUCCCUAAAGGAAGAAUUAAGAACGAACUAAUCUAACUAUGUAGAGGAGAGAAAUAUAUCUCUCCAAAUGAACUGAGGGUUCGUUCGCUGUAAAUAGAGAUUAAUUGGGAUUCUGAUUACCCGAUAUGGCGGUCGGGUCCGGGUAAUGCAUGAGAUUGUCAUACAUAAAUGUAGUCUUUUUAAGGAAUCGAAAACGUCUUUGUACUAAACCAAAUUAAUAAAUAAUCGUGAUGGGUUUAAAUGUAACCUAAACAUACGUGUGAAGACUUUCAGCAUAAAAAAUUGGCAUUCAAUGGUGUUAUUGUUAAGAUUCAAAUAAUAAAUUAAGUUAUAAAGAUAACCGUUAAUCAAAACAAAUAAGGUGGAGUGACGUAAUUUGAGGUGGUCAAACUUAAAGAACUAAGAUGUCUGGGAUGAACACGGUAACACACAAGGAGGUGAAGACCGGAGGAGGUAAUGGUCACUGAUUGUGAUGUUAUUUAUACGUUUAUUACAUUCAAACGUUCGACGUUAGGUUUAAUAUCAGUUUUGAUUCUUGACAUAAGGAAGAUUAAAGCCCUUUUCCAUCAAGCAGUUAAACGAAUCUUAAAUGUUCUUGACUCAUCAACAGUGGGCGAACGUAUUUUAUCUGCCAGAUUAAAUACUGUACGAAUCCAAAGAACAGUAUGUAAAAUUAAACCAUUCUUUUAAGCGUACAUCAAAAUUUAACUGAGCAAGAACCUCGAUCGUUACCUAUAAAGGAAACCGCUAACGGUCAAAAUUAAACUCGUAAUAUAUAUCUCUAACUCACCCUCGAUUCUACGGAUCUUCAAAUAAUAGCAAACUAGGGGGUAAAGCAAACUGAUCUAGACACUGUUUGUUAUCAUAUUACCAAAAAAGAAGGAGAUAUACGGGAUAUAUCCGUAAAGGAUAAAACACGAUCUCAUUUUUAUUAUAAAUUGAAACACGAAACGUACGUCAUCAAAACGAUGUGAUAUCAUCGUUGUUAGGAACGCACUGUUAAUAACAUGGCUAAUGUAGUAUCGUUUAGUAUCGUUUCCCUGUUAUACUCCCCGGAAGUUUGACGUCAAACUCUCUGUUAGACAAACAGGAUACCUCCACGAGUUACCUGAAUUGUAGUCUUAUCGGACCGAAAGUCUUCUUUUCUACUGUCGAAAUAAAACAACAACAUCACACGGAUAAGCCUUUGUUCUUCACUCACGAAACAAAAAAAUUAUUAUAUUGAUCUUACUUACUUUAUACACUCCCAACUCGAGGACUCAACACAUUAACCAGAUUUGGAAAAACCAAGAAAAACAACAAGGACACUUUUCACACUACUGCCUCCGUUUCAAUACUCUUGUGGGUCUAGUACAUACGAAUACAUGGUUCCUGAAACGAGUAUUUGUAGGGUUCAACUAGUAAAGAUGUAUGUAUGUUAUAAUAGUUCUUCGUAAGAACACCGAUCUUCGAGUUGUUUUAACUUUAAGAGUUCAGUUAGUACGUACCAGUACAUACACCAUACAGUCCGAAACAAGUAUAUAUAGGAGGGCUUCUACGAGAAUUCAACUUACAGCCAAGAUUUAUUCUUCAAAUCCUCUUGUCGUUACACCAUGUUUAAAUGUUAUAUACCGAAAGUACUAAAUACGGAUUGUUCACUAUUCUAAGACAUUCAGUACGGUGAAUUAAUGAAAAAAGGUAGUAUAUAUAGUAAUAAUAAAGCACGACUAAAACCAUUGUAAGAUGUAAUGAGAUGUUUAUCUCUAUCAACAUUUAUAUCUGACUCUCUAUCAUGACUUGAUGAUUAAAAGAUCUGAUUAAACUCGACUACUUUUUUAUUGGUACGAUUGCUUUCAUGAACGUCGAUUACUAUGUACCCCAGCAUUAUGUCUUUUGUGUUAGAUAAAUUUACUCCACAUGACAAUGGUAUAAUCGUCUAGAAGAGGAAAACAAUUUGUACGAAGUGAAG
This 4590-nucleotide ribosomal RNA is filed under the name Triticum aestivum (bread wheat). RNAcentral describes it as "partial small subunit ribosomal RNA". Lineage: Eukaryota; Viridiplantae; Streptophyta; Magnoliopsida; Poales; Poaceae. The record is from RNAcentral.